GAACUACUCCCUCCGUCCUAAAAUUCUUUUCGUAGGUUUGUCUAGAUAUGAAUAUUAUCUAGUCAUGCUUUAGUAUUUAGAUACAACCAUUUCUAAACAAAUCUAAGACAAGAAUUUUUAAGAUGAAGGGAGUACAAA
This 138-nucleotide microRNA precursor is filed under the name Hordeum vulgare. Its description in RNAcentral is "microRNA MIR1122". It matches the Rfam family "MIR1120/MIR1122 microRNA precursor family". Lineage: Eukaryota; Viridiplantae; Streptophyta; Magnoliopsida; Poales; Poaceae. The record is from RNAcentral.